Long non-coding RNA from Anoplophora glabripennis (Asian longhorned beetle), 1350 nucleotides. RefSeq lists it as uncharacterized. NCBI's taxonomy places the organism in Eukaryota, Metazoa, Arthropoda, Insecta, Coleoptera, Cerambycidae. The transcript is spliced from 3 exons. The record is from RefSeq and is a predicted model, not a curated record.
UUACUGAAAAAUCUAAGGUUUCCUUAAGUACUACACCAGAUACCUAUACGGAUUACGAACAAAUCCCCGGGAUGACGCUCUAAUGUGACGAUAGCAAGGAGGAUCGUGAGGCCGCUGAAAAAUCUAAGGUUAGUGUUGAAAUUUUUGAUUUAUAUAUCAUCCAUUUGAUUGAUUAAAUAUAAACGUAAUAAAUUUAUCCAAAAAGGCCCAUUUCGCAGUGACGGGAUUUUUUAUAACUAUUGGUCCUAAUUUUCCAAUUCUUUUGAAUUUUUUGUCUUCGAAGUCUUCGUUGUGAAGAUACAAGGUGUUGAAGUUUAAAUAGUCUAAAUAUAUUUUAAAUAAACAAAUACGUAUAUUCAAACGGGUAGAUUUGUCUUAUAAGCCUCGCGCAAUAUUGCACAUUACUGGUACCGUCAACGUCAAAUCAAAAUCUCUAAAUCAUAACGUCUACGUUCGAGAUAACGCAAUCGCUGAUUUGUUGGAUAAAUCUCAGGUUACACUCAAAGUUACACCAAUCACCAGCCGCUAAAACCUAAUUACUAUUCCAGACGAAGUUACUGGUCACGGGGUUUAUAAUCAUUCAUGAUCGAAGGUCUUGUUUGUAAUUUCACAAUACAUAUAGAGGUUGUCCCGAUAAAACAUGCAGGGUGUUCGUAUUUAAUUUUGUUAAUAAAACUGUACCGCCCCAAACGUUACCUUGGAAAUACAUAUGUUUCAUUGGUAGUUUCCUUGGGUUUUAGACCAAUUAACCUUAGUACGAUUUAGCUUUUUUAAAAAGUUGUCGGCUGUAACAUUUUUGAUUUAAUUUUAAUUUUUAAUAAGUUAAAUAUAUUUCAAUGAUUAUUUUCGGAGAGUCGAUUGUAAAUAUUAAGUUAUUUCGCGUUUGAAAUAGGUAAAUUUAUUGAAAAUGUCUUGCAUUGCAAUCGUUGUUUUUUAUUUUACUGUCGUAGUUUUUGGAAGAACACAAUUAAAUUUUACUUUUAUUUUGAUAAAUUUAUUACAAAAUGAAAUAUUUUUUAUUAUUCAUGGUCUGAAAAAUUAGCAGGUAUACAUUGAAAUACACGGACGGAAGUAGAUCUGUCUAAAUCUUGAAAACAAAAAAAAAUUCGUUGCAAAGUAAAAAAGGUAAAAGUAAAGGUGUUAGGGGAUUUUUGUCGAAAUCAUAAAAAUGGAUUUAUCGGUUUUUAUAUGAAGUAGUCGUCAGCUCUUCAUGUAUCCAGUGCGACGUUGUGUUUUCUAUCUCUUUUGGUCCCGAAGUAGUGGCGUCACCAUCAGUGUCGUCGUCCUAGAAAUUGAUACCUAAAAAAAGAACAAAAAUUAGAAAACGGUGAUUAGUAAAUAAAUCUCUAA